AUUGAACGCUGGCGGCAGGCCUAACACAUGCAAGUCGAGCGGAUGAAGGUAGCUUGCUCCUGGAUUCAGCGGCGGACGGGUGAGUAAUGCCUAGGAAUCUGCCUGGUAGUGGGGGAUAACGUCCGGAAACGGUCGCUAAUACCGCAUACGUCCUGAGGGAGAAAGUGGGGGAUCUUCGGACCUCACGCUAUCAGAUGAGCCUAGGUCGGAUUAGCUAGUUGGUGGGGUAAAGGCCUACCAAGGCGACGAUCCGUAACUGGUCUGAGAGGAUGAUCAGUCACACUGGAACUGAGACACGGUCCAGACUCAUAAGGGAGGCAGCAGUGGGGAAUAUUGGACGAUGGGCGAAAGACUGAUCCAGACAUGCCGCGUGUGUGAAGAAGGUAUUCGGAUUGUAAAGCACUUUAAGUUGGGAGGAAGGGAAGUAAGUUAAUACCUUGCUGUUUUGACGUUACCAACAGAAUAAGCACCGGCUAACUUCGUG
This 484-nucleotide ribosomal RNA is filed under the name uncultured bacterium. RNAcentral's name for it is "partial 16S ribosomal RNA". It matches the Rfam family "Bacterial small subunit ribosomal RNA", at positions 30 to 507 of the family's 1533-position model. The record is from RNAcentral.